This 253-nucleotide ribosomal RNA is filed under the name uncultured bacterium. Its description in RNAcentral is "partial 16S ribosomal RNA". It matches the Rfam family "Bacterial small subunit ribosomal RNA", at positions 524 to 776 of the family's 1533-position model. The record is from RNAcentral.
UACGGAGGGGGCAAGCGAUGUUCGGAAUUACUGGGCGUAAAGCGCGAGUAGGCGGCUGGGUAAGUCAGAUGUGAAAGCCCUCGGCUCAACCGGGGAACUGCGUCUGAUACUGCCUGGCUUGAGUCCGGUAGGGGGUAGCGGAAUUCCCGGUGUAGCGGUGGAAUGCGUAGAUAUCGGGAGGAAUACCGAUGGCGAAGGCGGCGACCUGGGCCGGUACUGACGCUGAGGCGCGAAAGCUAGGGGAGCAAACAGG